RNAcentral lists this ribosomal RNA (253 nucleotides) under uncultured bacterium. RNAcentral's name for it is "partial 16S ribosomal RNA". It matches the Rfam family "Bacterial small subunit ribosomal RNA", at positions 524 to 776 of the family's 1533-position model. The record is from RNAcentral.
UACGUAGGUGGCAAGCGUUGUCCGGAAUUAUUGGGCGUAAAGCGCGCGCAGGCGGUCCUUUAAGUCUGAUGUGAAAGUCCACGGCUCAACCGUGGAGGGUCAUUGGAAACUGGGGGACUUGAGUGCAGAAGAGGAAAGCGGAAUUCCACGUGUAGCGGUGAAAUGCGUAGAGAUGUGGAGGAACACCAGUGGCGAAGGCGGCUUUCUGGACCAUUGCUGACGCUGAGACACGAAAGCGUGGGUAGCAAACAGG